RNAcentral lists this ribosomal RNA (402 nucleotides) under uncultured bacterium. Its description in RNAcentral is "bacterial SSU rRNA". It matches the Rfam family "Bacterial small subunit ribosomal RNA", at positions 355 to 774 of the family's 1533-position model. The record is from RNAcentral.
CGGGGAAUAUUGGACAAUGGGCGCAAGCCUGAUCCAGCCAUGCCGCGUGAGUGAUGAAGGCCCUAGGGUUGUAAAGCUCUUUCAACGGUGAAGAUAAUGACGGUAACCGUAGAAGAAGCCCCGGCUAACUUCGUGCCAGCAGCCGCGGUAAUACGAAGGGGGCUAGCGUUGUUCGGAAUUACUGGGCGUAAAGCGCACGUAGGCGGAUCGGUCAGUUAGGGGUGAAAUCCCAGGGCUCAACCCUGGAACUGCCUUUAAUACUGCCGAUCUGGAGUCCGGAAGAGGUGAGUCGAAUUCCGAGUGUAGAGGUGAAAUUCGUAGAUAUUCGGAGUAACACCAGUGGCGAAGGCGGCUCACUGGUCCGGUACUGACGCUGAGGUGCGAAAGCGUGGGGAGCAAACA